UAUUGAUUGGUGCUUGCAUCAUGAUUUACAUUUGAGUGAGUGGCGAACUGGUGAGUAACACGUGGGAAACCUGCCCAGAAGCGGGGGAUAACACCUGGAAACAGAUGCUAAUACCGCAUAACAACUUGGACCGCAUGGUCCGAGCUUGAAAGAUGGCUUCGGCUAUCACUUUUGGAUGGUCCCGCGGCGUAUUAGCUAGAUGGUGGGGUAACGGCUCACCAUGGCAAUGAUACGUAGCCGACCUGAGAGGGUAAUCGGCCACAUUGGGACUGAGACACGGCCCAAACUCCUACGGGAGGCAGCAGUAGGGAAUCUUCCACAAUGGACGAAAGUCUGAUGGAGCAACGCCGCGUGAGUGAAGAAGGGUUUCGGCUCGUAAAACUCUGUUGUUAAAGAAGAACAUAUCUGAGAGUAACUGUUCAGGUAUUGACGGUAUUUAACCAGAAAGCCACGGCUAACUACGUGCCAGCAGCCGCGGUAAUACGUAGGUGGCAAGCGUUGUCCGGAUUUAUUGGGCGUAAAGCGAGCGCAGGCGGUUUUUUAAGUCUGAUGUGAAAGCCUUCGGCUCAACCGAAGAAGUGCAUCGGAAACUGGGAAACUUGAGUGCAGAAGAGGACAGUGGAACUCCAUGUGUAGCGGUGAAAUGCGUAGAUAUAUGGAAGAACACCAGUGGCGAAGGCGGCUGUCUGGUCUGUAACUGACGCUGAGGCUCGAAAGUAUGGGUAGCAAACAGGAUUAGAUACCCUGGUAGUCCAUACCGUAAACGAUGAAUGCUAAGUGUUGGAGGGUUUCCGCCCUUCAGUGCUGCAGCUAACGCAUUAAGCAUUCCGCCUGGGGAGUACGGCCGCAAGGCUGAAACUCAAAGGAAUUGACGGGGGCCCGCACAAGCGGUGGAGCAUGUGGUUUAAUUCGAAGCUACGCGAAGAACCUUACCAGGUCUUGACAUACUAUGCAAAUCUAAGAGAUUAGACGUUCCCUUCGGGGACAUGGAUACAGGUGGUGCAUGGUUGUCGUCAGCUCGUGUCGUGAGAUGUUGGGUUAAGUCCCGCAACGAGCGCAACCCUUAUUAUCAGUUGCCAGCAUUAAGUUGGGCACUCUGGUGAGACUGCCGGUGACAAACCGGAGGAAGGUGGGGAUGACGUCAAAUCAUCAUGCCCCUUAUGACCUGGGCUACACACGUGCUACAAUGGAUGGUACAACGAGUUGCGAACUCGCGAGAGUAAGCUAAUCUCUUAAAGCCAUUCUCAGUUCGGAUUGUAGGCUGCAACUCGCCUACAUGAAGUCGGAAUCGCUAGUAAUCGCGGAUCAGCAUGCCGCGGUGAAUACGUUCCCGGGCCUUGUACACACCGCCCGUCACACCAUGAGAGUUUGUAACACCCAAAGUCGGUGGGGUAAC
RNAcentral lists this ribosomal RNA (1396 nucleotides) under Lactiplantibacillus pentosus. Its description in RNAcentral is "bacterial SSU rRNA". It matches the Rfam family "Bacterial small subunit ribosomal RNA", at positions 68 to 1439 of the family's 1533-position model. The record is from RNAcentral. Lineage: Bacteria; Bacillati; Bacillota; Bacilli; Lactobacillales; Lactobacillaceae.